This 548-nucleotide ribosomal RNA is filed under the name uncultured Glomeromycotina. RNAcentral describes it as "SSU rRNA". It matches the Rfam family "Eukaryotic small subunit ribosomal RNA", at positions 548 to 1097 of the family's 1831-position model. The record is from RNAcentral. Lineage: Eukaryota; Fungi; Glomeromycota.
UUGGAGGGCAAGUCUGGUGCCAGCAGCCGCGGUAAUUCCAGCUCCAAUAGCGUAUAUUAAAGUUGUUGCAGUUAAAAAGCUCGUAGUUGAAUUUCGGGGUCAGUAGGUUGGUCGUGCCACUGGUGUGCACUGGUCUCACUGAUUCCUCCUUCCUGAUGAACCGUAAUGCCAUUAAUUUGGUGUUGCGGGGAAUCUGGACUGUUACUUUGAAAAAAUUAGAGUGUUUAAAGCAGGCUAACGCUUGAAUACAUUAGCAUGGAAUAAUGAAAUAGGACGAUCGAUCCUAUUUUGUUGGUCUCUAGGAUUGACGUAAUGAUUAAUAGGGAUAGUUGGGGGCAUUAGUAUUCAAUUGUCAGAGGUGAAAUUCUUGGAUUUAUUGAAGACUAACUACUGCGAAAGCAUUUGCCAAGGAUGUUUUCAUUAAUCAAGAACGAAAGUUAGGGGAUCGAAGACGAUCAGAUACCGUCGUAGUCUUAACCAUAAACUAUGCCGACUAGGGAUCGGAUGAUGUUAAUUUUUUAAUGACUCAUUCGGCGCCUUACGGGAAA